Molecule: ribosomal RNA, 1351 nt
Filed under: Mycobacterium avium
Lineage: Bacteria; Bacillati; Actinomycetota; Actinomycetes; Mycobacteriales; Mycobacteriaceae
Description: bacterial SSU rRNA
Rfam family: Bacterial small subunit ribosomal RNA
Source: RNAcentral
GCAAGUCGAACGGAAGGGCCCCUUCGGGGGUACUCGAGUGGCGAACGGGUGAGUAACACGUGGGCAAUCUGCCCUGCACUUCGGGAUAAGCCUGGGAAACUGGGUCUAAUACCGGAUAGGACCUUUAGGCGCAUGUCUUUAGGUGGAAAGCUUUUGCGGUGUGGGAUGGGCCCGCGGCCUAUCAGCUUGUUGGUGGGGUGAUGGCCUACCAAGGCGACGACGGGUAGCCGGCCUGAGAGGGUGUCCGGCCACACUGGGACUGAGAUACGGCCCAGACUCCUACGGGAGGCAGCAGUGGGGAAUAUUGCACAAUGGGCGCAAGCCUGAUGCAGCGACGCCGCGUGGGGGAUGACGGCCUUCGGGUUGUAAACCUCUUUCACCAUCGACGAAGGUCCGGGUUUUCUCGGAUUGACGGUAGGUGGAGAAGAAGCACCGGCCAACUACGUGCCAGCAGCCGCGGUAAUACGUAGGGUGCGAGCGUUGUCCGGAAUUACUGGGCGUAAAGAGCUCGUAGGUGGUUUGUCGCGUUGUUCGUGAAAUCUCACGGCUUAACUGUGAGCGUGCGGGCGAUACGGGCAGACUAGAGUACUGCAGGGGAGACUGGAAUUCCUGGUGUAGCGGUGGAAUGCGCAGAUAUCAGGAGGAACACCGGUGGCGAAGGCGGGUCUCUGGGCAGUAACUGACGCUGAGGAGCGAAAGCGUGGGGAGCGAACAGGAUUAGAUACCCUGGUAGUCCACGCCGUAAACGGUGGGUACUAGGUGUGGGUUUCCUUCCUUGGGAUCCGUGCCGUAGCUAACGCAUUAAGUACCCCGCCUGGGGAGUACGGCCGCAAGGCUAAAACUCAAAGGAAUUGACGGGGGCCCGCACAAGCGGCGGAGCAUGUGGAUUAAUUCGAUGCAACGCGAAGAACCUUACCUGGGUUUGACAUGCACAGGACGCGUCUAGAGAUAGGCGUUCCCUUGUGGCCUGUGUGCAGGUGGUGCAUGGCUGUCGUCAGCUCGUGUCGUGAGAUGUUGGGUUAAGUCCCGCAACGAGCGCAACCCUUGUCUCAUGUUGCCAGCGGGUAAUGCCGGGGACUCGUGAGAGACUGCCGGGGUCAACUCGGAGGAAGGUGGGGAUGACGUCAAGUCAUCAUGCCCCUUAUGUCCAGGGCUUCACACAUGCUACAAUGGCCGGUACAAAGGGCUGCGAUGCCGCAAGGUUAAGCGAAUCCUUUUAAAGCCGGUCUCAGUUCGGAUUGGGGUCUGCAACUCGACCCCAUGAAGUCGGAGUCGCUAGUAAUCGCAGAUCAGCAACGCUGCGGUGAAUACGUUCCCGGGCCUUGUACACACCGCCCGUCACGUCAUGAAA